CCCGCACAAGCGGUGGAGCAUGUGGUUUAAUUCGAUGCAACGCGAAGAACCUUACCUGGGCUUGACAUCCCGGGAAUCCCUUGGAAACAAGGGAGUGCCCUUCGGGGAACCUGGAGACAGGUGCUGCAUGGCUGUCGUCAGCUCGUGUCGUGAGAUGUAGGGUUAAGUCCCGCAACGAGCGCAACCCUUGUCUUUAAUUGCCAUCAUUGAGUUGGGCACUUUAAAGAGACUGCCGGUGUUAAACCGGAGGAAGGUGGGGAUGACGUCAAGUCCUCAUGGCCUUUAUGUCCAGGGCUACACACGUGCUACAAUGGACGGUACAGAGGGUCGCAAUAUCGCGAGAUGGAGCUAAUCCCAUAAAACCGAUCGUAGUCCGGAUCGCAGUCUGCAACUCGACUGCGUGAAGUCGGAAUCGCUAGUAAUCGUGAAUCAGAAUGUCACGGUGAAUACGUUCCCGGGCCUU
RNAcentral lists this ribosomal RNA (463 nucleotides) under uncultured Smithella sp. Its description in RNAcentral is "bacterial SSU rRNA". It matches the Rfam family "Bacterial small subunit ribosomal RNA", at positions 920 to 1382 of the family's 1533-position model. The record is from RNAcentral. Lineage: Bacteria; Pseudomonadati; Thermodesulfobacteriota; Syntrophia; Syntrophales; Smithellaceae.